UGGCCAAGGUCCGAGCGGAGAGAGGUAGCUUGCUACUGAUCUUAGCGGCGGACGGGUGAGUAAUGCUUAGGAAUCUGCCUAUUAGUGGGGGACAACAUUUCGAAAGGAAUGCUAAUACCGCAUACGUCCUACGGGAGAAAGCAGGGGAUCUUCGGACCUUGCGCUAAUAGAUGAGCCUAAGUCGGAUUAGCUAGUUGGUGGGGUAAAGGCCUACCAAGGCGACGAUCUGUAGCGGGUCUGAGAGGAUGAUCCGCCACACUGGGACUGAGACACGGCCCAGACUCCUACGGGAGGCAGCAGUGGGGAAUAUUGGACAAUGGGCGCAAGCCUGAUCCAGCCAUGCCGCGUGUGUGAAGAAGGCCUUAUGGUUGUAAAGCACUUUAAGCGAGGAGGAGGCUACUUUAGUUAAUACCUAGAGAUAGUGGACGUUACUCGCAGAAUAAGCACCGGCUAACUCUGUGCCAGCAGCCGCGGUAAUACAGAGGGUGCAAGCGUUAAUCGGAUUUACUGGGCGUAAAGCGCGCGUAGGCGGCUAAUUAAGUCAAAUGUGAAAUCCCCGAGCUUAACUUGGGAAUUGCAUUCGAUACUGGUUAGCUAGAGUGUGGGAGAGGAUGGUAGAAUUCCAGGUGUAGCGGUGAAAUGCGUAGAGAUCUGGAGGAAUACCGAUGGCGAAGGCAGCCAUCUGGCCUAACACUGACGCUGAGGUGCGAAAGCAUGGGGAGCAAACAGGAUUAGAUACCUUGGGUAGUCCCAGUU
This 756-nucleotide ribosomal RNA is filed under the name Acinetobacter baumannii. Its description in RNAcentral is "bacterial SSU rRNA". It matches the Rfam family "Bacterial small subunit ribosomal RNA", at positions 56 to 801 of the family's 1533-position model. The record is from RNAcentral. Lineage: Bacteria; Pseudomonadati; Pseudomonadota; Gammaproteobacteria; Moraxellales; Moraxellaceae.